GACGAACGCUGGCGGUGUGCUUCACACAUGCAAGUCGAACGGAGUAGCAAUACUCAGUGGCGGACGGGUGAGUAACACGUGGGAAUCUACCAUUAGGUGGGGAAUAACAGGCCGAAAGGACUGCUAAUGCCGCAUAUGUAGGCAUCUCGACAGAGAUGUUUAUGAAAGGAGUAAUCCGCCUUUUGAUGAGCCCGCGUCCGAUUAGCUAGUUGGUAGGGUAAAAGCCUACCAAGGCGGCGAUCGGUAGGUGGUCUGAGAGGAUGAUCACCCACAAUGGGACUGAGACACGGCCCAUACUCCUACGGGAGGCAGCGGUGGGGAAUUUUACGCAAUGGGGGAAACCCUGACGUAGCGACACCGCGUGAGCGAAGAAGCCCCUUGGGGUGUAAAGCUCUGUCAACAGGAACGAAACAAAUGACGGUACCUGUGGAGGAAGCAUCGGCUAACUACGUGCCAGCAGCCGCGGUAAGACGUAGGAUGCAAGCGUUGUCCGGAUUUAUUGGGCGUAAAGAGUUCGUAGGCGGUUUGUUAAGUCUGAUGUUAAAGACCGGGGCUCAACCUCGGAAAUGCAUUGGAUACUGGCAGACUGGAGUGCAGUAGAGGCUAGUGGAAUUCCCAGU
RNAcentral lists this ribosomal RNA (620 nucleotides) under uncultured bacterium. RNAcentral describes it as "bacterial SSU rRNA". It matches the Rfam family "Bacterial small subunit ribosomal RNA", at positions 28 to 674 of the family's 1533-position model. The record is from RNAcentral.